GAUGAACGCUGGCGGCGUGCCUAAUACAUGCAAGUCGAGCGAACGGACGAGAAGCUUGCUUCUCUGAUGUUAGCGGCGGACGGGUGAGUAACACGUGGAUAACCUACCUAUAAGACUGGGAUAACUUCGGGAAACCGUAGCUAAUACCGGAUAAUAUUUUGAACCGCAUGGUUCAAAAGUGAAAGACGGUCUUGCUGUCACUUAUAGAUGGAUCCGCGCUGCAUUAGCUAGUUGGUAAGGUAACGGCUUACCAAGGCAACGAUGCAUAGCCGACCUGAGAGGGUGAUCGGAGAAACGGUAAGGGAGACAAGGGAAAGAGUGAGAAGGGAGGAAGAAGGAGGGAAUCGUAAGAAAGGGGAGAAAGCAGGAAGGAGAAAAGAAGAGGGAGGGAGGAAGGUAUUAGGAGAGGAAAACGAGGGGAGGAGGGAAGAAAAAAUGGGGAAGCAAGGAUGAACGCGUGGAAGGGACCUAAUAAGAAAGAAAAGGAGAAGUACGGG
Molecule: ribosomal RNA, 497 nt
Filed under: uncultured bacterium
Lineage: Bacteria
Description: partial 16S ribosomal RNA
Rfam family: Bacterial small subunit ribosomal RNA (bases 20-341)
Source: RNAcentral